Molecule: small nuclear RNA, 98 nt
Organism: Suricata suricatta (meerkat)
Lineage: Eukaryota; Metazoa; Chordata; Mammalia; Carnivora; Herpestidae
Gene: U2
Rfam family: U2 spliceosomal RNA
About the family: U2 is a small nuclear RNA (snRNA) component of the spliceosome (involved in pre-mRNA splicing). Complementary binding between U2 snRNA (in an area lying towards the 5' end but 3' to hairpin I) and the branchpoint sequence (BPS) of the intron results the bulging out of an unpaired adenosine, on the BPS, which initiates a nucleophilic attack at the intronic 5' splice site, thus starting the first of two transesterification reactions that mediate splicing.
Source: Ensembl
AUCACUUCUCGGCCUUUUGGCUAAGAUCAAGUGUAGUAUCUGUUCUUAUCAGUUUAAUAACCUCUACCCCAAUGUGGGGCUUGUACUCACAACCCCAA